GCUCCGUUCGCCUAAUGGAUAUGGCAAUUCUCUUCUAAAGAAUUAUAAUACAGGUUCAAGUCCUGUACGGAGUGCCA
Molecule: transfer RNA, 77 nt
Filed under: Caudoviricetes sp.
Lineage: Duplodnaviria; Heunggongvirae; Uroviricota; Caudoviricetes
Description: tRNA-Arg
Rfam family: tRNA
About the family: Transfer RNA (tRNA) molecules are approximately 80 nucleotides in length.
Source: RNAcentral